GAAGCAGAAGAAGAGGAGGAGACGAAGGAGGACGAGGUGGUGGUGGUGGUGAAAGAAGAGGAAGCACAAACUGGUAGUGAGUGGUCGGGUGUUUGGUACUUGCGAGUCUUGUGUCCUACUACUAUCUGGAUGGGGAAAUCCGUCCGUCUCUGCCACUGAGAGAUUCUAACCUGCCACAUGCGUGGAUUGAGCACGACUGAAUCACUCACGAAUUCCUGGCUUUGAGAACGAAAAGCAAAGGGCGGGAGAGGAGGAAGAGGAGGAGGAGGAGGAGAAGGAGGAAAAGCAGCGAUGAGUUCAAGAUCCAAGUCCAUUUUGGGGCCAGGCCUAGCAAGCCGGAAAGUGUGGUAAGAUGUACGCCGUGUCAUCCCAGUGAAAAGUUGAAAACGCGCAUGCAGAGGGCAUAAUCCUUUGCAAACCAUGUGGUCUCUUGCACCUGAGGAACUCAAAUCGGCAACACUGACUCAAUUUCCGUUCCACUUUUGGGAACCGCGCUUGUCUCAGUCUGGGUUCUGACGCUCAAGCAAGAAAGCGCUCGUCGAACAUGGAACAAACAGUCGUCAAUAGACCGUUCCACGGCAAGUGGUAACUUUGGAACGAACGAGCGCUAGCGCAAAUGGAGACCAUGGUGACUGACCAAGUCAGUCCUUAAACAAGUCAAGGUGUCUUUCUAAUUACCACUAUGCAACAAAAACUUGUGUAGAUGAAACCAUUUGGAAACCAGAUCAAUGAUGAAGCUAAAUUAAGAACAAGAAUAAAAGCUUUGAAAAAAAUAAUCAUAAUGGAUCAA
Molecule: long non-coding RNA, 790 nt
Organism: Tigriopus californicus
Lineage: Eukaryota; Metazoa; Arthropoda; Copepoda; Harpacticoida; Harpacticidae
Exons: 3
Source: RefSeq, a predicted model, not a curated record